AUUGGUAGGAGGUGACGGCUGAGCCUGCGCUUAAGUGCGCGGUGAGGUUGCUGCUUUCGCUACGCCGAUAAUUCUUACACACACUGGAGUUUUAUUCUACAGUAUCGGGAGUGGUAAAACACGCCCAACACAAAACACAAACAACAUUUUUUAUUUUUUACAGUCAUUCAAAAUCUGCUUUAUUGCAGUAACCAAAAUAUUCAAAACUUUCAACAACGGAUCUCUUGGUUCUCGCAUCGAUGAAGAACGCAGCGAAAUGCGAUACGUAAUGUGAAUUGCAGAAUUCCGUGAAUCAUCGAAUCUUUGAACGCACAUUGCGCCCCUUGGUAUUCCAGGGGGCAUGCCUGUUUGAGCGUCAUUUCCUUCUCAAAUACUUGUAUUUGGUUGUGAGUGACACUCAGUUUCAUAUUGAGUUAACUUGAAAUUGUUGGCCGUAGCGGUCACUGCAGCUUUAGUUUUUUCUGUUAUGGUAUUAUUCUUUACUAUUAAACAGGGGACUGAGCAUGUCGUAUUAGGUUUUACCAACUCCGGCAGACUCUGGUUUCUUGGAAGGAUAUAUUUGCAGAGAGUUCUAGCACAGUGCCCUGGCAAACAGUACUCUUUAAGUUUGACCUCAAAUCAGGUAGGAAUACCCGCUGAACUUAAGCAUAUCAAUAAGCGGAGGA
RNAcentral lists this ribosomal RNA (665 nucleotides) under Maudiozyma wufongensis. Its description in RNAcentral is "eukaryotic LSU rRNA". The stretch from base 205 to 358 matches the Rfam family "5.8S ribosomal RNA". The record is from RNAcentral. Lineage: Eukaryota; Fungi; Ascomycota; Saccharomycetes; Saccharomycetales; Saccharomycetaceae.